GCCCUUGUGCCCUUCACCCUAGGAAGAGAGAAAAAUGAAGAAAAGAAAAAGUGUCUCAAGUUCUCAUCUAUUUGUGACAACACAAAUCCAAUAUGCCAUAAACAUGUUGAAAUGUUCUGGCCUUUACAGUUUUACCAGCCUGAGACAUCAAAACAUGAAGACAAAAUCAAUCAAGGUCAUACACUAACUUUGUGAAAAGUUCAGCCUUUACUUACUGGCUUGCUUCAAAGUGGCCUGGAAUUUAUGUAGUUUGAAAGCCAGUCUUCUGUGGUACCUUUACUUGACCUCUGUGUUACUUUUCCUGAGAUUUUUCAAACACUUCAACAUGUUUGAGUUUUAC
Molecule: long non-coding RNA, 340 nt
Filed under: Phasianus colchicus (ring-necked pheasant)
Lineage: Eukaryota; Metazoa; Chordata; Aves; Galliformes; Phasianidae
Description: lncRNA (ENSPCLG00000001846.1)
Source: RNAcentral